Molecule: ribosomal RNA, 253 nt
Filed under: uncultured bacterium
Lineage: Bacteria
Description: partial 16S ribosomal RNA
Rfam family: Bacterial small subunit ribosomal RNA
Source: RNAcentral
UACGUAGGUGGCAAGCGUUGUCCGGAUUUACUGGGUGUAAAGGGCGUGUAGCCGGGCUGACAAGUCAGAUGUGAAAUCCGGGGUCUCAACCCCCGAACUGCAUUUGAAACUGUUGGUCUUGAGUAUCGGAGAGGCAGGCGGAAUUCCUAGUGUAGCGGUGAAAUGCGUAGAUAUUAGGAGGAACACCAGUGGCGAAGGCGGCCUGCUGGACGACAACUGACGGUGAGGCGCGAAAGCGUGGGGAGCAAACAGG